This 253-nucleotide ribosomal RNA is filed under the name uncultured bacterium. Its description in RNAcentral is "partial 16S ribosomal RNA". It matches the Rfam family "Bacterial small subunit ribosomal RNA", at positions 524 to 776 of the family's 1533-position model. The record is from RNAcentral.
UACGUAGGUGGCAAGCGUUGUCCGGAAUUAUUGGGCGUAAAGCGCGCGCAGGCGGUCCUUUAAGUCCGAUGUGAAAUCUCGUGGCUUAACCACGAGCGGUCAUUGGAAACUGGGGGACUUGAGUACAGAAGAGGAGAGUGGAAUUCCACGUGUAGCGGUGAAAUGCGUAGAGAUGUGGAGGAACACCAGUGGCGAAGGCGGCUCUCUGGUCUGUGACUGACGCUGAGGUGCGAAAGCGUGGGUAGCGAACAGG